Molecule: long non-coding RNA, 2195 nt
Organism: Ailuropoda melanoleuca (giant panda)
Lineage: Eukaryota; Metazoa; Chordata; Mammalia; Carnivora; Ursidae
Exons: 5
Source: RefSeq, a predicted model, not a curated record
UUCAGCUAAUUUAUGGUAGCACAAAGGAGAUCAGACCUAAAUUCACCAAAGAUCUUAUAUAAGAACCUGCUAUCACAUCAAGAUGAUUGUGGUGGUUAUUUCUGAUGGUAGUUUUCAUAGUUUGAAACUCCAUAUGGAAGACCAAGUGAAUCUACUUCUCUCAUAAAAGACCCAGUAUUGAAGUUUAGAAAAGUACUCUGUAAGACUCUGUUUCUACGUAGUGGAGCUCAGUGGUUCUGAGUAUGAGCUCUGGCAUCAGACAGUCCAGGUUUGAACCUUGACCCAUACUUAUAAGCAGCAUGAGCGUGGGCAAAUUGCCCACUUCUCUGUGACUUCAUUUCUCCAUCUCUAAAAAACACAUCUAAUACCCAAAAUAUACGAAAACUUCUUCACCUCAAUAACAAAAAACAAAUGACCUGAUGAAAAAAUGAGCAAAGACCUUGAAUGGACAUUCUUCAAAGAAGAUAUCCAAAUAGCCAACAGGUCAAUGAAAAGAUGCUCAACAUCACUAAUCAAAUAAUGCAAAUCAAAAUCACAGUUGAGGUAUCAACUUAUACUUGUUAGGAUGGCAAUUAUCAAGAAAGCAAAACGUAAGCAUUGGUGAGGAUGCGGAGAAACUGAAACCCUUGUGCGCUGUUGGUAGGAAUACAAAAUGGAGCAGCUGCUGUGGAAAACAGCACGAAGGGUCCUCGAAAAACAAAAGAAGAAAUAUCAUAUGAUCCAACAAUCUCACUUCUGAGUUUUUAUCCAAAAGAAUUAAAAUCAGGAUCUCAAAGACGUAUUUGCACUCCCAUAUUCAUCGCAGCAUUAUUCACAAUAGCCCAGAUGUGGCAACAGUCUAAAUGUCUACCAACAGAAAAGCCAACAGAGGAGAGGUGGUAUAUACCUACAGUGGAAUAUGAUUUAGCCUUAAAAAGAAGCUAAUCCUUCCAUAUGUGACAACAUGGAUGAACCUGGGGGAUAUGAUGCUAAGUCAAGCACGCCAGUCACAGAAGGACAAAUACUGCAUGAUUCUACUUACAUGAGAUCCACCCUUAGAAUGGAGAGGGGCCUUGAGUGCUUCAUAGAGGACAAUGGGUAAGCCCUGGAGUUCAAGUUCAGACCUCAUAGAUGCUUCUGGAAUCAUAACUAUUCACGGACACACUGCAAAAUGGAAAUCAUAAUGUCUCUGUUGGAGAGUACGUGGUAAAGACCAGUGCCUGCUAUAUGCGAAGACCCUUAUCAUUGUGGUGGGAUCUGUCACGUUCACUUGUGAGGGGCCCGCUCUAUGUAUGGCUCAGACUUCGGCACGGGUUCCUCACUCGAGAGAAAGAAACAAAUUCAGAAAUACAGUCUAAUUGUCUCAAGAUAGAAUUGUAGUGCUGUUCUGAAGACUGAUACCCAGGCCACUUGGAUUUGGCUAUUCAUCCUUUCCUCCUCUGCUCCACCGCCACCUGGAUUCCCACUCAAGCCUGGGAGUCUGGGCAGUACAUACACCUCUCUACAAGCGCCAGUACUUGCAUAAUCCCUGGCAUUAGGUAAAUAAAUGCUGUCGAAGGAAAGAAGGAAGAGAAGAAGGAAAAAGUUUCAACUCUAAGCCCAGGGUUCUGGUGAUAACUGGAUUAGUCUUUGAGCCCUCUGAGUCAUCAGACAAAAGGAUAAUAAUUGCAAUAUAAUAUUCACACUUCCAAUUUAGAGAACUUUAAGAAUUUUUGAAAAGUGUUCGAGGAAUAUUUAUCUCAUUUAAUUGUCAAAAUAUUUCUGCAAGCUAAGUAGGGAGUAGGUAUCAUACAGAAAGUCAUUAGCCAGAGAGCGGCUGGAGCUCAAGUUCUGACCUCUGAACUCCCAAACCACGUAGAAGGAGAAGGAAGAAUGGCAAAGAAAUCAAUGCAUUGUCAGUUAAUAGGAGGAAUGAAUAUACUUUACCAAAAGUCUUGAUCAUGCCACACAGAUUCAAAAGGAACCAAGAAAGGAGAACUAAUUGUGUCUUUCAUUUGCCAUGCAAAAAAUGCUUAAAUGUAAGCAUGUGUUUGCAGCUAUGGGAAGCUAUUGCAACUCAAUUACUAUCCUUUCUUACUUCCGCUUUUUUUAAGACUUUCUGUACCUGGGUGUCUUUCCUAGUAAAAAAUAAAAAAUAAGAUCCUUUGAUUUCACUUCUCUUAUUCAUGUUUCUCUGCCCUUUAAAAAUAAGUGACAGUUAUCAACAAAUAAAAAGA